UACGUAGGGGGCAAGCGUUGUCCGGAUUUAUUGGGCGUAAAGAGCGUGUAGGCGGCUUGGUAGGUCCGCUGUGAAAACUCGAGGCUCAACCUCGAGAUGUCGGCGGAAACCACUUGGCUAGAGUCCGGGAGAGGAGAGUGGAAUUCCUGGUGUAGCGGUGAAAUGCGCAGAUAUCAGGAAGAACACCUAUGGCGAAGGCAGCUCUCUGGGACGGUACUGACGCUGAGGUGCGAAAGCGUGGGGAGCAAACAGG
Molecule: ribosomal RNA, 253 nt
Filed under: uncultured bacterium
Lineage: Bacteria
Description: partial 16S ribosomal RNA
Rfam family: Bacterial small subunit ribosomal RNA
Source: RNAcentral